Molecule: ribosomal RNA, 300 nt
Filed under: uncultured bacterium
Lineage: Bacteria
Description: bacterial SSU rRNA
Rfam family: Bacterial small subunit ribosomal RNA
Source: RNAcentral
AAUCAACGCUGGCGGCGUGCCUCAGACAUGCAAGUCGAACGCGAAAGUUCCCUUCGGGGAGCAAGUAGAGUGGCGCACGGGUGAGUAACACGUAGGUAAUUUGCCUUCGGGUGGGGAAUAACAGUCGGAAACGACUGCUAAUACCGCAUAAUGCAGCGGCUCGACAUCGAGACAGUUGUUAAAGCGGGGGAUCCUUCGGGACCUCGCGCCUGAAGAGAAGCCUGCGGCAGAUUAGCUAGUUGGUGAGGUAAUGGCCCACCAAGGCUACGAUCUGUAACCGGCCUGAGAGGGCGGUCGGUC